GUACUCGCUUUGGCAUCACAUAUGCUAAAAUUGAAAUGAUACUGAGAAGAUUAGCAUGACCCCUACGCAAGGAUGACACACAAAUUCCUGAAGCGUUCCAUAUUUUU
Molecule: small nuclear RNA, 107 nt
Organism: Arvicola amphibius (Eurasian water vole)
Lineage: Eukaryota; Metazoa; Chordata; Mammalia; Rodentia; Cricetidae
Source: RefSeq, a predicted model, not a curated record